This 217-nucleotide ribosomal RNA is filed under the name uncultured bacterium. RNAcentral describes it as "partial 16S ribosomal RNA". It matches the Rfam family "Bacterial small subunit ribosomal RNA", at positions 99 to 334 of the family's 1533-position model. The record is from RNAcentral.
CGGACGGCUGAGUAAUGCGUAGGAACGUACCCCAAAGUGAGGAAUAACUGCCCGAAAGGGUAGCUAAUGCCGCAUGUGCUCUAAGGAGUAAAGCUUCGGCGCUUUGGGAACGGCCUACGUCUGAUUAGCUUGUUGGUGAGGUAAUAGCUCACCAAGGCGACGAUCAGUAGCUGGUCUGAGAGGAUGAUCAGCCAGACUGGGACUGAGAACGGCCCAG